AAAGUGCUUUCUUGUAUUGGCGU
Molecule: microRNA, 23 nt
Filed under: Gekko japonicus
Lineage: Eukaryota; Metazoa; Chordata; Lepidosauria; Squamata; Gekkonidae
Description: Gja-Mir-430-o40_3p (mature (co-guide))
Source: RNAcentral